CUACGGGUUGCAGCAGUGGGGAAUAUUGCACAAUGGGCGCAAGCCUGAUGCAGCAACGCCGCGUGAACGAUGAAGGCCUUCGGGUUGUAAAGUUCUUUUCUUAGGGAAGAAUAAAUGACGGUACCUAAGGAAUCAGCCCCGGCUAACUACGUGCCAGCAGCCGCGGUAAUACGUAGGGGGCAAGCGUUAUCCGGAAUCACUGGGCGUAAAGGGAGUGUAGGCGGUCAAGCAAGUCAGGGGUGAAAGGCAUCGGCUCAACCGAUGUAAGCCUUUGAAACUGUUUGACUUGAGUGCAGGAGAGGUAAGUGGAAUUCCUAGUGUAGCGGUGAAAUGCGUAGAUAUUAGGAGGAACACCAGUGGCGAAGGCGACUUACUGGACUGUAACUGACGCUGAGGCUCGAAAGCGUGGGGAGCGAACAGGAUUAGAUACCCGUGUAGUC
Molecule: ribosomal RNA, 440 nt
Filed under: uncultured bacterium
Lineage: Bacteria
Description: partial 16S ribosomal RNA
Rfam family: Bacterial small subunit ribosomal RNA
Source: RNAcentral